UUUCCGUAGGUGAACCUGCGGAAGGAUCAUUAGUGAAUUGAAUAUGUUAGCGGACCUCUUCGGAGUCCCUAGCAUCAAAUCAUAUCCAUAACACCUGUGAACUGUAAGGCUGUCUUGAAAACGAAAGUGAUUAGAGCGCCUGCCCAUUUUAUACAAACAUUAAAGUAACAAACGUAGUCUUAUAUAAUCUAAUAAAACUUUCAACAACGGAUCUCUUGGCUCUC
This 224-nucleotide unclassified non-coding RNA is filed under the name plant metagenome. Its description in RNAcentral is "partial contains small subunit ribosomal RNA, internal transcribed spacer 1, and 5.8S ribosomal RNA". The record is from RNAcentral.